AUUGAGCGCUGGCGGCAGGCCUAACACAUGCAAGUCGAACGGUAACAGGAAGAAGCUUGCUUCUUUGCUGACGAGUGGCGGACGGGUGAGUAAUGUUUGGGAAACUGCCUGAUGGAGGGGGAUAACUACUGGAAACGGUAGCUAAUACCGCAUAACGUCGCAAGACCAAAGAGGGGGACCUUCGGGCCUCUUGCCAUCGGAUGUGCCCAGAUGGGAUUAGCUAGUAGGUGGGGUAACGGCUCACCUAGGCGACGAUCCCUAGCUGGUCUGAGAGGAUGACCAGCCACACUGGAACUGAGACACGGUCCAGACUCCUACGGGAGGCAGCAGUGGGGAAUAUUGCACAAUGGGCGCAAGCCUGAUGCAGCCAUGCCGCGUGUAUGAAGAAGGCCUUCGGGUUGUAAAGUACUUUCAGCGGGGAGGAAGGGAGUAAAGUUAAUACCUUUGCUCAUUGACGUUACCCGCAGAAGAAGCACCGGCUAACUCCGUG
RNAcentral lists this ribosomal RNA (490 nucleotides) under uncultured bacterium. RNAcentral's name for it is "partial 16S ribosomal RNA". It matches the Rfam family "Bacterial small subunit ribosomal RNA", at positions 30 to 507 of the family's 1533-position model. The record is from RNAcentral.